RNAcentral lists this ribosomal RNA (253 nucleotides) under uncultured bacterium. Its description in RNAcentral is "partial 16S ribosomal RNA". It matches the Rfam family "Bacterial small subunit ribosomal RNA", at positions 524 to 776 of the family's 1533-position model. The record is from RNAcentral.
UACAGAGGUCUCAAGCGUUGUUCGGAUUCAUUGGGCGUAAAGGGUGCGUAGGCGGCGCGGUAAGUCGGGUGUGAAAUCUCGGAGCUUAACUCCGAAACUGCAUUCGAUACUGCCGUGCUUGAGGACUGGAGAGGAGACUGGAAUUUACGGUGUAGCGGUGAAAUGCGUAGAUAUCGUAAGGAAGACCAGUGGCGAAGGCGGGUCUCUGGACAGGUCCUGACGCUGAGGCACGAAGGUCAGGGGAGCAAACGGG